Molecule: ribosomal RNA, 468 nt
Filed under: uncultured bacterium
Lineage: Bacteria
Description: partial 16S ribosomal RNA
Rfam family: Bacterial small subunit ribosomal RNA
Source: RNAcentral
GACGAACGCUGGCGGCGUGCUUAACACAUGCAAGUCGAACGGAAAGGCCCUGCUUUUGUGGGGUGCUCGAGUGGCGAACGGGUGAGUAACACGUGAGUAACCUUCCCUUGACUUUGGGAUAACUUCAGGAAACUGGGGCUAAUACCGGAUACGAGCUCCUGCUGCAUGGUGGGGGUUGGAAAGUUUCGGCGGUUGGGGAUGGACUCGCGGCUUAUCAGCUUGUUGGUGGGGUAGUGGCUUACCAAGGCUUUGACGGGUAGCCGGCCUGAGAGGGUGACCGGGGACAUGGGGACUGAGAUAGGGCCCAGAGUCGAACGGGAGGCAGAGGGGGGGAAUAUUGCACAAUGGGCGGAAGCCUGAUGCAGAAACGCCGCGUGCGGGAAGAAGGCCUGCGGGUUGUAAACCGCUUUAGCCUGUGACGAAGCGUGAGUGACGGUAAUGGGUAAAGAAGCACCGGCUAACUACGUG